AAAAAACGAAAAGAAGUUCAAAACUGUGAUGACCUUUACCUGUUCUUCUUUUCUUGGUAGUUUCGCUUGACUUCACAUUGCCGUUGAUCGAAGCUCACAUGAAAAACUGUGAUCAGUGCGCACCUUCUUCAUUUCAUCAGCAAUCAAACAAUAACUCAGGUUCAAUAUUGGCCACCCAAUUGAGAGCUUCUUCCUCAUUCUCUUCUGUUCCUUUUUCCACCAGUUCAUACACACACGAUGUGUUUCUGAGUUUCAGAGGCGAGGAUACUCGCUACGGUUUCACAGGUCAUCUGAACAGGUAUUUGGUUCAUAGGGGGAUCAACACUUUCAUAGAUGAUGAACUUACAAGAGGAGAAGAAAUAUCAGAAGCACUUCUCCAAGCAAUUGAAGUAUCAAAGCUCUCUCUCGUUGUGUUCUCUGAAAACUAUGCAUCCUCCAAGUGGUGUUUGGAUGAACUGGUUCAUAUCCUUGAAUGUAGAAGAUCAAAGAACCAAAUGGUUCGGCCAAUCUUUUACAAAGUAAAUCCCUCCGAUGUAAGACACCAAAGAGGUAAAUUUGGUGAGGCACUUGCAGAGCAUGAACGCAUAUUCGAAGGUGAAAUGGACAAGGUGUUGAGAUGGAGAGCAGCUCUUUCAGAAGCAGCAAAUUUGACUGGGUGGCCUUUCUCGCAGGGGCAUGAAUAUGAAUCUAAAUUUAUUGAUAUAAUUGUUGAAGAGGUUUCUGCACAACUAAAAGAACGUACCAAUUUGGAUGUGGCAAAGUGUCCAGUUGGGAUAGACUCUCGGGUACAAGACAUGCUUGAAAUUUUAGAUGUUGGGGGAAGUGAUGUACGCAUGGUAGGGAUAUGGGGAAUUGGUGGAAUAGGGAAGACAACAAUUGCUAAAGCUGUUUACAAUACAAUUGCCCAUAAGUUUGAAUGUCACUGCUUUUUGGAAAAUGUUAGAGGAGGUUCAGAGCAACAUGGAGGUUUAGUCAACCUACAAAACAUUAUUCUUUCAGAGAUUCUAGGGGGCAAAGAACUGAUAGUAAUCAAUGUUGAUAAAGGAAUCAAUUUGUUGCGUCAAAGGUUGAGAAAUAAAAGGAUUCUGUUAAUUCUUGAUGAUGUGAAUAAAUCGGACCAGUUAGACGCAUUAACCGGAGCUCCAGAUUGGUUUGGUCGUGGCAGCAGAAUUAUCAUAACAACAAGAGAUAAGCGUUUGCUGACUGUUCACGAAGUCAAUCCUAUAUACAAGGUCAGGGAACUAGAUCAUCACGAAGGUUGUGAGCUCUUCAGGUUAAAUGCCUUCAAGAAAAAAGGAAAUCAUGAUGACGAUGAGAAACUCUGGAUUAGCACCAUUGUUAGAUAUGCUCAUGGCCUUCCGUUAGCCCUGGUAGUUUUGGGUUCACAUCUAUGUGGUAGACGUAUACAUGAAUGGCAUGCUAUGUUAGAUGGUUAUAAAAGAAAUCUUCCCAAAGACAUUCGAGAUAUUCUCAAAGUCAGUUAUGAUGGACUGGAAGAAAUAGUGAAAGAAGUUUUCCUCGACAUUGCUUGUUUCUUCAGAGGUUGGAAUACAAAAAAUGUGAUACAAAUAUUAGAAGGUUGCGACCGCAACAACCCCAAGCAUAGUAUUGAAGUUCUUGAAGAAAAGGCGCUCAUAAAUGUUGAUGGAUAUGGUCGUAUUUGCAUGCAUGAUUUGCUAGAUGAGAUGGGAAAAUAUAUAGUUCAGCAAGAGUCUACAGAGCCCGGUAAGCGAAGCAGAUUAUGGCAUCACAAGGAUGUGCAGGAGGUUCUAACAGAAAACACAGGAACAAGUAAAAUUGAAGGCAUGAUGAUAAAGAUGUCCAAAGAAGAUGAGAAAUGCCUGAGUCCUAAAUGCUUCAAAAAGAUGAAAAAUCUUAAAAUUUUUAUAAAUGUCAAUGGACAAUUUUGUGGAAAGGUUGAUUAUUAUCCGAAUAAGUUGCGGUUACUUGAUUGGUCUAGCUGUCCACUACAAUCUUUGCCCUCCGAUUUUAAUAUGAAGAAUCUGGUUCAACUUAGUAUGCCUUGCAGCCACAUCUCACGUUUUGGAGAAGGAUCCAAGAAUAUGCAAAAUCUGAAAUCCUUAAAUUUGGGGAUAUGUAAAUUCCUAGUACAAAGCCCAGACCUGUCUGGAAGCCCAAAGUUAGAGUUCCUGGAUCUAAGUAGGUGUGAAAGGUUAAAGGAGGUUCACUCUUCGGUUGGAUCCCUCGAAAAGCUUGUUCACCUGAAUCUUCAGCAUUGCUAUAAGCUUGAGAGGCUACCUGAAAAAGUCAACUGGAGAUCCCUGAAAGACAUUAAUCUUGACCAUUGCAUGAGGCUGGAGAGUUUCCCUGAAAUUGUGGGAGAGAUGAAAUACAUGACAUCCUUGUAUCUAUGGGGCACUGGCAUCAAAGCAUUGCCUUCAUCCAUUGGAUAUCUAAUCAACCUUGAAAGGUUGGAGUUACGAUUUUGUGGAAACCUCACAGAUCUACCUUGCAGCAUUUAUGAAUUGCAAAAUUUGAAGGACGUUGGUUUGUACGACUGCCCAAAACUCGUAAGAUUCCCAAAAAAGUUGGACUCUGAAGUGCUUCCAACUUACUCAAAGGUUUCACAUGACAACCGUGACUCUUUAUCGAAAAGAAAGAGAUGGCGUGCAGGCAGUUCAUUGGAGCCAGAGCCAGACACUGAAUUCAAUUCGGCGCUUCCUUGGCUACAUCGAUUCCGUGCGAGCCGAUGCAAUUUAUCUAAUAUUGAUUUCCUCGCGUCCCUUGAUUGUGCAUCCACUUUAGAUAUACUUGAUUUAAGAGGAAGCCCCAUUGUUAUUCUUCCCGAAUGCAUCAACAAAUUUGUCAAGUUGAGGGAACUCAAUUUGAGAGGCUGCAGGAGGCUCGUAGAAAUUCCAAAGCUUCGACCAAGUAUUAGCCGGUUGUUGUUGAGGGAUUGUGUAUCAUUGGAACGAAUUUUGAAGUUGUCAAACAUUUUGGAACGUAAAGAAUCACAAAUAAUGAUUGAGGAGAUGGACUUGACUAAUUGCUGGAGACUCUGUCAAAAUUUGGUUGAGAUGGCAAACGAGGAUGAUGAUGAGGUGGACGCUGAUCUCUUCUCUCGACUCCUAUCUUCUCAGCAAUUCAAAUUCAGAAUUACAUUUCCAGUUCCAAGAAGCGAGGUUCCAAAGUGGUUCAAUUGUCAAAUGGAUUUCAUGGGGCAUCGACGGUUUGAAUUUUGUAUUGAAACACUUGCAAAUUUCAAAUGGGAGAACACAGGAUUGGCUCUCUGUGUUGCUGUUGAUCAAAAGCUGCAACAUACUGAAUUUGAGGUCCAUAUUCACAUCAAUGAAGUACGUGUUUCAAAUCUCCACACACAGCGAGUUGAAUCAGCAGAGUCAAAUCAUGUGUGGCUGCACUAUGUUCCAUUCCAUGAAAUGUGGCGACUUGGUUGUAUGCAUCCAUUGCCCCCUUUUACAUGUCGAGUCAUUAUUUAUCCUUCUUAUCCUUCGGCGAACCCCUUCAAAAGCUGUGGGGUCCACCUUGUAAUGCCACCCAAUGAAGACGUUUGUAUGAAGCUAAUCCGUUCUCACCAGUGCGAUUUCUAAUGAUGAUGUUUAUAAGGACUUCUGGGACAAUUAUCGUCCCAAACAGAGGACUAACUGCAAAGAAUUAUAUACUGAUGCACAACUGGAGAACGAAAAGCUGUAAUUAUUACUGAUGCAGCAUAGCAUUGUCUACGGACCAGUGUGACGAAUACAGGGAAUGCCCUGAGGAAUGUGUUGGAAAGUAGAGCAAAAUUAGCAUCUUGUAUAGCUGUUAACAUUUAACACAUUCACUCUAUAUCAUCACAUUGAUUCUAUAUUAUUAGACAUUAAUAGGGCUAGAAUAGCUUUCUUGUUUUGUAUCCUAGAAUCAAGCUGUAUUAUUGUAUAUAUGUGCUACAGAUCAAUAGAGCAAUUAUCUCUCCAGCAAAUCUGUCUUUGUUGUUUUACAUGGUAUCAGAGCAGGACUCACAAUCCUGACUCUUCUCUAGCCUUCCUAGCAACAAAUUCACAAAAGCCAUAAUCACCAUGGCUGGUGAUAACGUCCCAUUACCACCACCCAAUUCCAGCAAGUCAAAUAAUCCAACAUCUGAUAUCUCAAAUCCAUUCUUCACUCACCAUUCCGAUCAUCCUGGAUUGGUCUUAGUCUCCAAACCAUUGAAUGGAGACAAUUACACAGGUUGGAAGAGGGCUAUGACAAUGGCUCUCAAUUCUAAAAACAAGCUCGGUUUUGUGAAUGGUACGUUCAAUCAAAGUUCCAUCACCCGAAGCUGACCCAGAAGAAUAUGCAACCUGGUCAAGAUGCAAUGACAUGGUCCAUUCAUGGAUCGUUAACACAGUCAAUUCUGAAAUUGCUGACAGUAUCAUCUACUAUCCUACAGCUCAUGAGGUAUGGGAAGAUCUAAGUGAGCGUUUUUCACAAGGCAAUGCACCUCGCAUAUUUGAAAUUCAGCGAGACAUCGCUUCACUCAGGCAAGAACAACAAUCAGUUUCUGCAUACUACACGAAACUGAAAAGUUUGUGGGAUGAAUUGGCAUCCUAUUCAGAAGCAUCACAAGGAGCACAGGCAGAUCAACAAAAGCUCAUGCAAUUCUAGAUGGGAUUAAAUGAGACUUACAGUGCAACCCGCGGUCAAAUCCUCUUGAUGAAUCCCCUUCCAAGUGUCAGACAAGCAUAUGUUGCAGUUGCACAAGAAGAAAAACAAAGUUUCGUUGCAGCGGCGGAGUCCAGUUCAAGCACCGCCGCCAUGGCUGUCCGGAGUGGCGGCCGGCCGAACCAGAUCGGCAGCAGAGGAGGUCGUGGUGACCGACCGAAUCUUCAGACCGGACGAGAUGCCGAACGCGGCUUCACCGCGCGUUUUGGUUCAGAUCGAGGAAGGGGAAGGUCGCACUGUACCUAUUGUGGUGAUCCAGGACAUUGGGUCCAAACAUGUUUUCACCUAAUUGGUUUUCCUCCAGGUCAUCCCAAAGCAAAACAAGGAUCGGGAAAUUUCCCCAAGAAGCACACUGCCACACCAGUCGCGCCCUCUCCUUCUGCUAACCAGGUUCAUGCGACAGGCAUCGUAGAAGAGGAGAGUGGAUAAGCAAUUACUUUAUCUGAGGCCCAAUUCACACAGUUUUUAGCUGCUCUCCAACAAGCCCAAAAGCCCAAUCCAAAUACUGACUCGAGCUCUAAGGCAAAUGCAGUAACGCAACCAGGAUCUGGCUACGAAGAGGACGAUUGGUUUGGGUAAAGAACGUGAUGGGCUAUACUAUUUGGUGGCACUAGCGACGGAACGAACCAGGCCUUCCAUUACCACUCCUUC
Rosa rugosa (rugosa rose) is the source of this 5310-nucleotide RNA transcript. It is a transcript of the gene named TMV resistance protein N-like, with no coding region annotated. Lineage: Eukaryota; Viridiplantae; Streptophyta; Magnoliopsida; Rosales; Rosaceae. The transcript has 7 exons. The record is from RefSeq and is a predicted model, not a curated record.